Molecule: long non-coding RNA, 425 nt
Organism: Hemicordylus capensis (graceful crag lizard)
Lineage: Eukaryota; Metazoa; Chordata; Lepidosauria; Squamata; Cordylidae
Exons: 3
Source: RefSeq, a predicted model, not a curated record
CUUAGCAACCAGAGGGCUGUGCUGCACUGGAAAGCAUGAGGGGCCUAUGUGGAGCUUUCAUUCCCUUCUCAAGUGUUGGAUAUUAGUAAAUGCUUCCCUCCACUCCCUUCCCCUCUCCUGCGACUCCUCUUUGAAAAAGACUCAGCAAACCAACAAAACCCGUGCUGGCUGAAGUCCUGACUCUUGCUCUCGGAGCUGUCCGAGGUCUGGUGUAAUAGCUAUGGAUUUCCCACAGAUGACCACCAAGAUGAAGUUACGUAGCUUGGCUGCAGUCAAAAGGAUGAAUGGUGAUUCAGACUCAUUCCUGCCAACAAAGAUAUCCAAGGGACAGACGGUGAUUGAUUAAUUGAUGAUGUCAUCAUGGAGCCAUUAAGCUUUAGUCUUCUCUGGCCAAAUGGAUCAGUAAAACAGGAUUUUCCAGGUUA